UGUGAGUGCACUUUUACCCCCAGAAACUCUGAAGAACAGUGUUAUACAGGCACAAAAUUUGUAGUGUUUUCCUAGUAGCAACGGGUACAAGAAAACACAGUCCCCUAAUACCACCCAAAGCCACAGCCUGUCAGGGGAGCCAUCAUGGAAAGUGUCAGGAGCUAAAGGUCCAGGGCAUAGCUGGUGGCCAUCUGGGAGGUCAGCUGCCCCUGGCGGUGUCAGGCAGCCCCAUGCACACCUGGCCAUGAGCCUUGGCCACUUACUCACCUCGUGUUCUGCAGCAGGUGGUGGAAGACAAACAGCUCAGAGCUGGACUCAGAACUUGGCAGAGUCCUGCUUUCAACUACAUGCAGCCAGAAAACUCUGGAAAACUGAACUGUUUAUUGGGGUCAAACUUUGGUAAGUCCGAUAAAGUCUGGCUCCAGGUGUCAAUCUAGUCUCUUGAAAGAAUUGCCCAGAAGCUCACUGCUGACUGGCUGGAUGUUACCAGUGGCAUACAGCCUCUGCUUGUGGGUGGAAUCCGGCAGCUCGGACACCGCCCCACGGUUCCUGAUGCAAGCCUGGGCAGGAGCUAGAGCUAGGGGCUUGCAGCCAAGGAGGAGAUAAGUCCAGGGGAGCCCUGCAGGCUAUCAAACCAUCUGCCAGCUGGACUCGCUCCAGGCCACUGGUGACCCUUGCCAUGACACCGGACACCAGUAGCAAGAAAGCCUGCAAUCCAGUAUGCUUCUCUUUUCCUUUCUACAGGACUCCUAGAGUGGAGCUAGCUCCCGUCCUUCCAAAUGCAGCAAUGACAUUAAGGACAUUCGUUCACAUGGUUCACAGUUGGUGUUGGGAAGUUGUCCUACCUGGACAUUGCUGUCAGAGCCAUGGACUAAAAUACUCAAUUCUGGCCUAAAUAAAGCAAGCUCUCGGUGUUAAAGACUUUUUUUUUUUUUUUUUUUUUUUUGAGAUGGAGUCUUGCUCUGUUGCCCGGGCUGGAAUGUAAUGGUGUGAUCUCAGCUUACUGCAACCUCCACCUCCCAGGUUCAAGCAAUUCUCCUGCCUCAGCCUCCUGAGUAGCUGGGAUUACAGGUGCACGCCACCAUACCUGCUAAUUUUUGUAUUAUUAGCAGAGGCGGGGUUUCACCAUGUUGGCCAGGCUGGUCUCCAACUCCUGGCUUCAAGUGAUCCACCCGCCUCAGCCUCCCAAAGUGCUGGGAUUACAGGCGUGAGCCACAGUGCCUGGCCUUUUUGAGGAUUAUUAUAAGUAAAAGAAAAUUCAGACCACGAACAUAGCAUUCCUUUAGGUGUUUUGCAUAGAUAUAGUUUUUUGCUUUACUGUGGGUCCACUGGGAAAAGGUUUGUGGAAAUCUGAGCAGCUGAUGUUUGUGUGCUCAGAUUCUUUGGGACCUAUCUAUAAGACUUGGCGAGGCAAUACGGCUUCCACCAUUUCCCCAGGGAAAAAGUUACUCAAGGUUACUGAACUCAUGAAACCAUGUGGAUUUCCAGCAUGUGUUAUUAUAAUCUCACUAACCUUCCGAUUUUAAAACGCUGUAACUCUGUAAUUUUUUUCUGUGGUCAGCCCUUCCCAAAGGUAUCCACCUUCCAGUUUGUCCUGUGGAGCACGCUCUUGGCAGAGUUUGGCAUUGUUUGUUAUCAGGGGGUUUGAUUUAUGUAAAAUUGCAUUAAAUCACUAAUAAGGAAGACUUUGUUUAAUUUGUAUUUUUGGAGGGAAAGAAAUAUUUUAUGGUAUAACCAUCAUAAAUCU
Molecule: long non-coding RNA, 1747 nt
Filed under: Homo sapiens (human)
Lineage: Eukaryota; Metazoa; Chordata; Mammalia; Primates; Hominidae
Description: long non-coding RNA NONHSAT216190.1
Source: RNAcentral